UUCAAAUUGGUCUACAUUAAUGUCCAAAGGGUCCAAAAUUAAACUUUGUUUGAUUUUAGCAAAAAUUGAAUAUAUGAGGUUCUUUGAUAUGCUGAAUCUAAACGUGUAUUUAGAUUUUUGAUUUUUGGCCCAGUUUUCAAGUUGUUCCAAAUUGGGGUCCAAAAUUAAACUUUGUUUGAUUUCAACAAAAAUUGAAUAUAUGGGGUUCUUUGAUAUGCUGAAUCUAACCAUGUAUUUAGAUUUUUUAUUUGUGGACCCCGUUAUCUAAUUGGUUCAUAUUGAGGUCAAAAGGGUCCAAAAUUAAACUUUGUUUGAUUUCAUCUAAAAUUGAAUUAUUGGGGUUCUUUGAUAUUCCAAAUCUAACCGUGUAUUUAGGUUUUUAAUUUUGGGUCCUGUUUUUUAAAUUGGUCUACAUUGAGGUCCAAAGGGUCCAAAAUUAAACUUAGUUUGAUUUUGACAAAAAUUGAAUUCUUGGGGUUCUUUGAUUUGCUGAAUCUAAACAUGUGUUUAGAUUUUUGAUUAUGGGCCCAGUUUUCAAGUUGGUCCAAGAUAGGGUCCAGUAUUUAAACUUUGUUUGAUUUCAACAAAAAUUGAAUAUAUGGGGUUCUUUGAUAUGCUGAAUCUAAACAUGUAUUUAGAUUUUUGAUUAUGGGCCCAGUUUUCAAGUUGGUCCAAAUUGGGGUCCAAAAUUAAACUUUGUUUGAUUUCAACAAAAAUUGAAUAUAUGAGGUUCUUUGAUAUGCUGAAUCUAACCAUGUAUUUAGAUUUUUUAUUUGUAGGCCCCGCUAUCAAAUUGGUUCAUAUUGAGGUCAAAAGGGUCCAAAAUUAAACUUUGUUUGAUUUCAUCAAAAAUUGAAUUAUUGGGGUUCUUUGAUAUUCCAAAUCUAACCGUGUAUUUAGAUUUUUAAUUUUAAGUCCCGUUUUUUAAAUUGGUCUACAUUAAGGUCCAAAGGGUCCAAAAUUAAACUUAGUUUGAUUUUAGCAAAAAUUGAAUUCUUGGGGUUCUUUGAUAUGCUGAAUCUAAACAUGUGUUUAGAUUUUUGAUUAUGGGCCCAGUUUUCAAGUUUGUCCAAGUUGGGGUCCAAAAUUAAACUUUGUUUGAUUUUAACAAAAAAUGAAUAUAUGGGGUUCUUUGAUAUGCUGAAUCUAACCAUGUAUUUUGAUUUUGGACAUUGGACCAUAAUA
This is a long non-coding RNA of Mytilus californianus (California mussel), 1185 nucleotides long. RefSeq lists it as uncharacterized. NCBI's taxonomy places the organism in Eukaryota, Metazoa, Mollusca, Bivalvia, Mytilida, Mytilidae. The record is from RefSeq and is a predicted model, not a curated record. The transcript has 2 exons.